This 253-nucleotide ribosomal RNA is filed under the name uncultured bacterium. RNAcentral describes it as "partial 16S ribosomal RNA". It matches the Rfam family "Bacterial small subunit ribosomal RNA", at positions 524 to 776 of the family's 1533-position model. The record is from RNAcentral.
UACAGAGGUCUCAAGCGUUGUUCGGAUUCAUUGGGCGUAAAGCGUCCGCAGGUGGCACCUCAAGUCUGCUGUCAAAGACCGGGGCUUAACCCCAGAAAGGCAGUGGAAACUGAAGUGCUAGAGUGCAGUAGGGGUAGAGGGAAUUCCCGGUGUAGCGGUGAAAUGCGUAGAGAUCGGGAAGAACAUCGGUGGCGAAAGCGCUCUGCUGGACUGCAACUGACGCUCAGGGACGAAAGCUAGGGGAGCGAAUGGG